RNAcentral lists this ribosomal RNA (507 nucleotides) under uncultured Glomeraceae. Its description in RNAcentral is "SSU rRNA". It matches the Rfam family "Eukaryotic small subunit ribosomal RNA", at positions 569 to 1078 of the family's 1831-position model. The record is from RNAcentral. Lineage: Eukaryota; Fungi; Glomeromycota; Glomeromycetes; Glomerales; Glomeraceae.
AGCAGCCGCGGUAAUUCCAGCUCCAAUAGCGUAUAUUAAAGUUGUUGCAGUUGAAAAGCUCGUAGUUGAAUUUCGGGGUUAGUAGGUUGGCCAUGCCUCUGGUAUGUACUGGUCUCACUGAUUCCUCCUUCCUUAUGAACCGUAAUGCCAUUAAUUUGGUGUUGCGGGGAAUUUGGACUGUUACUUUGAAAAAUUAGAGUGUUUAAAGCAAGCUAACGCUUGAAUACAUUAGCAUGGAAUAAUGAAAUAGGACGUUCGAUCUUAUUUUGUUGGUUUCUAGGAUUGACGUAAUGAUUAAUAGGGAUAGUUGGGGGCAUUAGUAUUCAAUUGUCAGAGGUGAAAUUCUUGGAUUUAUUGAAGACUAACUACUGCGAAAGCAUUUGCCAAGGAUGUUUUCAUUAAUCAAGAACGAAAGUUAGGGGAUCGAAGACGAUCAGAUACCGUCGUAGUCUUAACCAUAAACUAUGCCGACUAGGGAUCGGAUGAUGUUAAUCUUUUAAUGACUCA